This 253-nucleotide ribosomal RNA is filed under the name uncultured bacterium. Its description in RNAcentral is "partial 16S ribosomal RNA". It matches the Rfam family "Bacterial small subunit ribosomal RNA", at positions 524 to 776 of the family's 1533-position model. The record is from RNAcentral.
UACGUAGGGAGCAAGCGUUGUCCGGAAUCAUUGGGCGUAAAGCGCGCGUAGGUGGCUUCGUAAGUCCGUUGUGAAAGUCAAAGGCUCAACCUUUGAAAGCCGAUGGAUACUGCGGAGCUAGAGUACGGAAGAGGCGAGUGGAAUUCCUGGUGUAGCGGUGGAAUGCGCAGAUAUCAGGAGGAACACCAAUAGCGAAGGCAGCUCGCUGGGACGUUACUGACACUGAUGCGCGAAAGCCAGGGGAGCGAACGGG